Molecule: ribosomal RNA, 506 nt
Filed under: uncultured bacterium
Lineage: Bacteria
Description: partial 16S ribosomal RNA
Rfam family: Bacterial small subunit ribosomal RNA
Source: RNAcentral
AGUGAACGCUGGCGGUAGGCCUAACACAUGCAAGUCGAACGGCAGCACAGGAGAGCUUGCUCUCUGGGUGGCGAGUGGCGGACGGGUGAGGAAUACAUCGGAAUCUACUCUGUCGUGGGGGAUAACGUAGGGAAACUUACGCUAAUACCGCAUACGACCUACGGGUGAAAGCAGGGGAUCUUCGGACCUUGCGCGAUUGAAUGAGCCGAUGUCGGGUUAGCUAGUUGGCGGGGUAAAGGCCCACCAAGGCGACGACCCGUAGCUGGUCUGAGAGGAUGAUCAGCCACACUGGAACUGAGACACGGUCCAGACUCCUACGGGAGGCAGCAGUGGGGAAUAUUGGACAAUGGGCGCAAGCCUGAUCCAGCCAUACCGCGUGGGUGAAGAAGGCCUUCGGGUUGUAAAGCCCUUUUGUUGGGAAAGAAAUCCAGCUGGCUAAUACCCGGUUGGGAUGACGGUACCCAAAGAAUAAGCACCGGCUAACUUCGUGCCAGCCGCCGCGGUAA